GAACGCUGGCGGUAGGCCUAACACAUGCAAGUCGAACGGCAGCACAGUAAGAGCUUGCUCUUACGGGUGGCGAGUGGCGGACGGGUGAGGAAUACAUCGGAAUCUACUUUUUCGUGGGGGAUAACGUAGGGAAACUUACGCUAAUACCGCAUACGACCUACGGGUGAAAGCAGGGGAUCUUCGGACCUUGCGCGAUUGAAUGAGCCGAUGUCGGAUUAGCUAGUUGGCGGGGUAAAGGCCCACCAAGGCGACGAUCCGUAGCUGGUCUGAGAGGAUGAUCAGCCACACUGGAACUGAGACACGGUCCAGACUCCUACGGGAGGCAGCAGUGGGGAAUAUUGGACAAUGGGCGCAAGCCUGAUCCAGCCAUACCGCGUGGGUGAAGAAGGCCUUCGGGUUGUAAAGCCCUUUUGUUGGGAAAGAAAAGCAGCAGGUUAAUACCCCGCUGUCCUGACGGUACCCAAAGAAUAAGCACCGGCUAACUUCGUG
Molecule: ribosomal RNA, 489 nt
Filed under: uncultured bacterium
Lineage: Bacteria
Description: partial 16S ribosomal RNA
Rfam family: Bacterial small subunit ribosomal RNA
Source: RNAcentral